This 84-nucleotide transfer RNA is filed under the name Candidatus Magasanikbacteria bacterium CG11_big_fil_rev_8_21_14_0_20_43_7. Its description in RNAcentral is "tRNA-Leu". It matches the Rfam family "tRNA". From Rfam's summary of the family: Transfer RNA (tRNA) molecules are approximately 80 nucleotides in length. Their secondary structure includes four short double-helical elements and three loops (D, anti-codon, and T loops). Further hydrogen bonds mediate the characteristic L-shaped molecular structure. tRNAs have two regions of fundamental functional importance: the anti-codon, which is responsible for specific mRNA codon recognition, and the 3' end, to which the tRNAs corresponding amino acid is attached (by aminoacyl-tRNA synthetases). tRNAs cope with the degeneracy of the genetic code in two manners: having more than one tRNA (with a specific anti-codon) for a particular amino acid; and 'wobble' base-pairing, i.e. permitting non-standard base-pairing at the 3rd anti-codon position. The record is from RNAcentral. Lineage: Bacteria; Candidatus Magasanikiibacteriota.
GCGCGGGUGGUGAAAUGGUAUACACGCUACCUUGAGGUGGUAGUGCCGAAAGGUGUGGAGGUUCGACUCCUCUCCCGCGCACAA